Molecule: non-coding RNA, 546 nt
Filed under: Ixodes scapularis (black-legged tick)
Lineage: Eukaryota; Metazoa; Arthropoda; Arachnida; Ixodida; Ixodidae
Description: Eukaryotic large subunit ribosomal RNA
Rfam family: Eukaryotic large subunit ribosomal RNA
Source: Rfam by way of RNAcentral
UGUCGGCUCUUCGUACCAUUGGAAAGCAGAAUUCGCUAAACGUUGGAUUGUUCUCCCACUAAUAGGGAACGGAAGCUUGUCUUAGGCCGUCGUGAGACAGGUUAGUGUUACCCUACUGAUGACUGGUCAUUGUGAUAGUAAUCCUGCUCAGUACGAGCGGAACCGCAGGUUCGGACACUUGGUUCAUGUGCUUGGUUGAAAGACCAGUGGUGCGAAGCUACCAUCCCUGGGAUUACGACUAAACGCCUCUAAGUCAGAAUUCCGUCUAAGCAGAGCAAUGAUAUCGUGCGCACUUGCUGCGUUUACAGGUGAAGUUAGAGUUUCUCGGGUCGAUCGCGGCGGGAUGCCGCGAUUCCCGGCUCGACGACGCCGCAUUAGUCGUUCGCCGAAGUAACGGUGCGAGCCACGCUCCCAUGCACUCGUUUUGGGUGUGAACCGCUGCGGUGUCAAAUCGUCUGUAGACGACUUAGGUACCUGUCGUGGGAUCGUAAUUAGUAGAGGAGCCAUCGCACUGCGAUCUAUUGAGCCUCAGCCUCCACUAUCUCA